This 516-nucleotide ribosomal RNA is filed under the name Triticum aestivum (bread wheat). Its description in RNAcentral is "partial small subunit ribosomal RNA". Lineage: Eukaryota; Viridiplantae; Streptophyta; Magnoliopsida; Poales; Poaceae. The record is from RNAcentral.
AUGAAUGAAGAAAGAAACAUGCCUUGCAAAUGCGUGACAUAUCAGAUUGCUUUUUCCUUUUCCCCUCGCAGACGGAUCGAACUGAACAAAGUUGUUGAAUUACUAGCCGACUUCCGGCGCUCUGCAACUGACGAAGGGACAACGGACUGCAGGUGCAACGAUGAGGUGGCACCAUCCAUUUGCAAGGCCACCCUCACGAACGGAGAAGCGAGACAAAAAUCGUGGCUCAAGAGUUCACCCCCAAAUCCCGAUUCCACUCCGAGAAGCCAUGGCGGCGGCUGCUCUCUUCACGGGCUCCCCCGGAACCUUCCACUACCGGGGGCGCACCCGGCCUCUCCGUCGCGUCCGCGCCGGCAUGCUCUCCCGCCUCGCACGCGCCCCGUCUCCGCGCUCGCGCUCCUCGAUGCCACCGCGUGUCUUGAAGCGCAUGGCCAUGGGCGGAGUUACGAGGUGAGAGCCGUUAAGAACUGUUACCAUCCCCCUCCCCCUCGCGUUUCAAUUUCCAUGGCAUUUUAA